UACGGAGGGGGCUAGCGUUGUUCGGAAUUACUGGGCGUAAAGCGCACGUAGGCGGCUUUGUAAGUUAGAGGUGAAAGCCCAGGGCUUAACCCUGGAAUUGCCUUUAAGACUGCAUCGCUAGAAUCGUGGAGAGGUGAGUGGAAUUCCGAGUGUAGAGGUGAAAUUCGUAGAUAUUCGGAAGAACACCAGUGGCGAAGGCGACUCACUGGAUCGGUACUGACGCUGAGGUGCGAAAGCGUGGGGAGCAAACAGG
Molecule: ribosomal RNA, 253 nt
Filed under: uncultured bacterium
Lineage: Bacteria
Description: partial 16S ribosomal RNA
Rfam family: Bacterial small subunit ribosomal RNA
Source: RNAcentral